AAAUAAUACCCCACUGAACCUUCCUUUAUUUUUUUGAGAAGUAGUUUGCAGAAGUAUAAUCUGUGUAGAUGAAAAGGGCUGUGGCACUGUUCUUAUGGACCAUAGGAUUUCCAUAGUUUUUUUUUAAUCACACUAUUUAGAAUUUAAUGUAACAUACUGGCAGAGCCCGGGGAUACGGGGAUUGCAUUACAAUGCUCGUCAUAGCUCUUUGCUAGUGUAAGUACCAGCACUUCAGAUGAUUCAUUCCAUGUUUCAGUGUGAUUUAGAGCAGACAAGACUUGAAUAUUGUCGAGCUGAUAAAGAGCUCACACAUCUG
Pelobates cultripes (western spadefoot toad) is the source of this 316-nucleotide non-coding RNA. Lineage: Eukaryota; Metazoa; Chordata; Amphibia; Anura; Pelobatidae. The record is from the annotation of a GenBank genome assembly.